GCCUGAUUGACGCAGUUGGUAGCGACCCUGCCUACUGCGCAGGGGGCGUGGGUUCGACUCACGCACAAGACA
This is a non-coding RNA of Eumeta japonica, 72 nucleotides long. NCBI's taxonomy places the organism in Eukaryota, Metazoa, Arthropoda, Insecta, Lepidoptera, Psychidae. The record is from the annotation of a GenBank genome assembly.